Molecule: small nuclear RNA, 140 nt
Organism: Aspergillus glaucus CBS 516.65
Lineage: Eukaryota; Fungi; Ascomycota; Eurotiomycetes; Eurotiales; Aspergillaceae
Rfam family: U4 spliceosomal RNA
About the family: U4 small nuclear RNA (U4 snRNA) is a component of the major U2-dependent spliceosome. The structure of U4 snRNA from yeast and human has been reported. U4 snRNA presents a k-turn RNA motif in the 5p-SL related to recognition of Snu13 protein.
Source: Rfam
AUCCUAGUGCAAGGGUUUUACACAUGUCAGUGAGGAUUCGUCCGAGACUGUGUUUUUGCUAGUUGAAAACUACCUAGUUUGACCGCUCUGGCUGGUCUUCGGAUCGGACAGGAAUUUUUGAAACCUUACUGCCUUUUGAC